This 510-nucleotide ribosomal RNA is filed under the name uncultured bacterium. Its description in RNAcentral is "partial 16S ribosomal RNA". It matches the Rfam family "Bacterial small subunit ribosomal RNA", at positions 28 to 523 of the family's 1533-position model. The record is from RNAcentral.
GACGGACGCUGGCGGCGUGCCUAAUACAUGCAAGUCGAGCGGACUUAAAAAGCUUGCUUUUUAAGUUAGUGGCGGACGGGUGCGUAACACGUGGGCAACAUGCCUGUAAGACUGGGAUAACUUCGGGAAACCGGAUCUAAUACCGGAUAAUCCUUUCCUACUCACGUAGGAAAGCUGAAAGACGGUUUACGCUGUCACUUACAGAGGGGCCCGCGGCACAUUAGCUGGUAGGUGAGGGAACGGCUCACCAAGGCGACGAUGCGUAGCCGACCUGAGAGGGUGAUCGGCCACACUGGGACUGAGACACGGCCCAGACUCCUACGGGAGGCAGCAGUAGGGAAUCUUCCGCAAUGGACGGAAGUCUGACGGAGCAACGCCGCGUGAGUGAUGAAGGUUUUCGGAUCGUAAAACUCUGUUGUUAGGGAAGAACAAGUACGAGAGUAACUGCUCGUACCUUGACGGUACCUAACCAGAAAGCCACGGCUAACUACGUGCCAGCCGCCGCCGUAA